RNAcentral lists this ribosomal RNA (301 nucleotides) under uncultured bacterium. RNAcentral describes it as "partial 16S ribosomal RNA". It matches the Rfam family "Bacterial small subunit ribosomal RNA", at positions 509 to 807 of the family's 1533-position model. The record is from RNAcentral.
CAGUCGCCACGGUAAUACGAAGGGUGCAAGCGUUAAUCGGAAUUACUGGGCGUAAAGCGUGCGUAGGCGGUUUGUUAAGUCUGUUGUGAAAUCCCCGGGCUCAACCUGGGAAUGGCAAUGGAUACUGGCAAGCUAGAGUGUGUCAGAGGAUGGUGGAAUUCCCGGUGUAGCGGUGAAAUGCGUAGAGAUCGGGAGGAACAUCAGUGGCGAAGGCGGCCAUCUGGGACAACACUGACGCUGAGGCACGAAAGCGUGAGGAGCAAACAGGAUUAGAUACCCCCGUAGUCCCUGUCUCUUAUAC